UUUAUGGAGAGUUUGAUCCUGGCUCAGGAUGAACGCUGGCGGCGUGCCUAAUACAUGCAAGUCGAGCGAACGGACGAGAAGCUUGCUUCUCUGAUGUUAGCGGCGGACGGGUGAGUAACACGUGGAUAACCUACCUAUAAGACUGGGAUAACUUCGGGAAACCGGAGCUAAUACCGGAUAAUAUUUUGAACCGCAUGGUUCAAAAGUGAAAGACGGUCUUGCUGUCACUUAUAGAUGGAUCCGCGCUGCAUUAGCUAGUUGGUAAGGUAACG
Molecule: ribosomal RNA, 272 nt
Filed under: Staphylococcus aureus
Lineage: Bacteria; Bacillati; Bacillota; Bacilli; Caryophanales; Staphylococcaceae
Description: partial 16S ribosomal RNA
Rfam family: Bacterial small subunit ribosomal RNA
Source: RNAcentral